GACGAACGCUGGCGGCGUGCCUAAUACAUGCAAGUAGAACGCUGAAGCGAGGAGCUUGCUCUUCUUGGAUUAGUUGCGAACGGGUGAGUAACGCGUAGGUAACCUGCCUUUUAGCGGGGGAUAACUAUUGGAAACGAUAGCUAAUACCGCAUAACAAUUUAUGACACAUGUCAUUUAUUUGAAAGGGGCAAUUGCUCCACUACAAGUUUGACCUGCGUUUGAUUAGCUAGUAGGUGAGGUAAUGGCUCACCUAGGCGACGAUAGAUAGCCGACCUGAGAGGGUGAUCGGCCACACUGGGACUGAGACACGGCCCAGACUCCUACGGGAGGCAGCAGGAGGGGAUCUUCGGGAAUGGGGGCAAAGCUGAACGGGGAAAGCCGGCGGAGGGAAGAAGGUUUUCGGAUCGUAAAGAUCUGUUGUAAGUCAAGAACGGGUGUGAGAGUGGAAAGUUCACACUGUGACGGUAGCUUAUCAGAAAGGGACGGCUAACUACGUG
RNAcentral lists this ribosomal RNA (497 nucleotides) under uncultured bacterium. RNAcentral's name for it is "partial 16S ribosomal RNA". It matches the Rfam family "Bacterial small subunit ribosomal RNA", at positions 28 to 507 of the family's 1533-position model. The record is from RNAcentral.